AUUGAACGCUGGCGGCAUGCCUUACACAUGCAAGUCGAACGGCAGCACGGGAGCAAUCCUGGUGGCGAGUGGCGAACGGGUGAGUAAUGUAUCGGAACGUGCCCAGUCGUGGGGGAUAACGUAGCGAAAGCUACGCUAAAACCGCAUACGAUCUGUGGAUGAAAGCGGGGGACCGUAAGGCCUCGCGCGAUUGGAGCGGCCGAUAUCAGAUUAGGUAGUUGGUGGGGUAAAGGCCUACCAAGCCGACGAUCUGUAGCUGGUCUGAGAGGACGAACAGCCACACUGGGACUGAGACACGGCCCAGACUCCUACGGGAGGCAGCAGUGGGGAAUUUUGGACAAUGGGCGCAAGCCUGAUCCAGCAAUGCCGCGUGCAGGAUGAAGGCCUUCGGGUUGUAAACUGCUUUUGUACGGAGCGAAAAGGCUCUCUCUAAUACAGGGGGCUCAUGACGGUACCGUAAGAAUAGCACCGGCUAACUACGUGCCAGCCGCCGCUGUAA
Molecule: ribosomal RNA, 499 nt
Filed under: uncultured bacterium
Lineage: Bacteria
Description: partial 16S ribosomal RNA
Rfam family: Bacterial small subunit ribosomal RNA
Source: RNAcentral